UACGUAGGGGGCAAGCGUUGUCCGGAUUUAUUGGGCGUAAAGAGCGUGUAGGCGGCUUUGCAAGUCCGUUGUGAAAACUCGAGGCUCAACCUCGAGACGCCGGUGGAAACUGCAAAGCUAGAGUCCGGAAGAGGAGAGUGGAAUUCCUGGUGUAGCGGUGAAAUGCGCAGAUAUCAGGAAGAACACCCGUGGCGAAGGCGGCUCUCUGGGACGGUACUGACGCUGAGACGCGAAAGCGUGGGGAGCGAACCGG
RNAcentral lists this ribosomal RNA (253 nucleotides) under uncultured bacterium. RNAcentral describes it as "partial 16S ribosomal RNA". It matches the Rfam family "Bacterial small subunit ribosomal RNA", at positions 524 to 776 of the family's 1533-position model. The record is from RNAcentral.